RNAcentral lists this ribosomal RNA (494 nucleotides) under uncultured bacterium. RNAcentral describes it as "partial 16S ribosomal RNA". It matches the Rfam family "Bacterial small subunit ribosomal RNA", at positions 28 to 507 of the family's 1533-position model. The record is from RNAcentral.
GACGAACGCUGGCGGCGCGCUUAACACAUGCAAGUCGAACGGAAAGGCCUGCUUUCCCUUGUGGAUUGCGGGUACUCGAGUGGCGAACGGGUGAGUAACACGUGAGUGAUCUGCCCCCAACUUGGGUAUAAGCCUGGGAAACUGGGUCUAAUUCCCGAUCGGACUGCAGGGUGGUGCCUGUGGUGGAACACGAUUUUCUAGUGGUUGGGGAUGAGCUCGCGGCCUAUCAGCUUGUUGGUGGGGUAAUGGCCUACCAAGGCGGCGACGGGUAGCCGGCCUGAGAGGGUGGACGGUCACAGUGAGACUGAGAUACGGCCCAGACGCCUACGGGAGGCAGCAGAGGGGAAUAUUGCAGAAUGGGCGGAAGCCUGAUGCAGCGACGCCGCGUGGGGGAUGACGGCCUUCGGGUGGUAAACUCCUUUCGACCGAGAGGAAGCCACCUGGUUGGAAGGGUGGUGACGGUAGUGGUAGAAGAAGCACCGGCUAACUACGUG